RNAcentral lists this ribosomal RNA (440 nucleotides) under uncultured bacterium. Its description in RNAcentral is "partial 16S ribosomal RNA". It matches the Rfam family "Bacterial small subunit ribosomal RNA", at positions 338 to 795 of the family's 1533-position model. The record is from RNAcentral.
CCUACGGGAGGCAGCAGUGGGGAAUCUUGCACAAUGGGCGAAACCCUGAUGCAGCAACGCCGCGUGAGUGAAGAAGUACUUCGUUAUGUAAAGCUCUAUCAGCAGGGAAGAAAAUGACGGUACCUGAGUAAGAAGCCCCUGCUAACUACGUGCCAGCAGCCGCGGUAAUACGUAGGGGGCAAGCGUUAUCCGGAUUUACUGGGGGUAAAGGGAGCGUAGACGGCAGUGCAAGUCUGGAGUGAAAGGCGGGGGCUCAACCCCCGGUCUGCUCUGGAAACUGUACGGCUGGAGUGCAGGAGAGGAAAGUGGAAUUCCGAGUGUAGCGGUGAAAUGCGGAGAGAUUAGGAGGAACACCAGUGGCGAAGGCGGCUUACUGGACUGUAACUGACGUUGAUGCGCGAAAGCGUGGGGAGCAAACAGGAUUAGAUACCCUUGUAGUC